RNAcentral lists this transfer RNA (69 nucleotides) under Talpa martinorum. RNAcentral describes it as "tRNA-Thr". It matches the Rfam family "tRNA". From Rfam's summary of the family: Transfer RNA (tRNA) molecules are approximately 80 nucleotides in length. Their secondary structure includes four short double-helical elements and three loops (D, anti-codon, and T loops). The record is from RNAcentral. Lineage: Eukaryota; Metazoa; Chordata; Mammalia; Eulipotyphla; Talpidae.
GUCUUUGUAGUAUAAUAAUUACUCUGGUCUUGUAAACCAGCAAUGGAGGCCUCAAAUCUCCCCAAGACA